UUCCAAUUGAUUCUAUCUCUGCCUCCCACU
RNAcentral lists this non-coding RNA (30 nucleotides) under Rattus norvegicus (Norway rat). The record is from RNAcentral. Lineage: Eukaryota; Metazoa; Chordata; Mammalia; Rodentia; Muridae.